RNAcentral lists this ribosomal RNA (253 nucleotides) under uncultured bacterium. RNAcentral describes it as "partial 16S ribosomal RNA". It matches the Rfam family "Bacterial small subunit ribosomal RNA", at positions 524 to 776 of the family's 1533-position model. The record is from RNAcentral.
UACAGAGGUCCCAAGCGUUGUUCGGAUUCACUGGGCGUAAAGGGUGCGUAGGUGGCCGGGUAAGUCUGACGUGAAAUCCCUCGGCUUAACUGAGGAACUGCACGAGAUACUGCGAGACUUGAGAUCGGGAGAGGGAAGCGGAAUUCCGGGUGUAGCGGUGAAAUGCGUAGAUAUCCGGAGGAACACCGGUGGCGAAGGCGGCUUCCUGGACCGACACUGACGCUGAGGCGCGAAAGCUAGGGGAGCAAACGGG